This 662-nucleotide long non-coding RNA is filed under the name Salmo salar (Atlantic salmon). RNAcentral's name for it is "lncRNA (ENSSSAG00000088273.1)". The record is from RNAcentral. Lineage: Eukaryota; Metazoa; Chordata; Actinopteri; Salmoniformes; Salmonidae.
GGUGUGUAGAAAUACAGCUAAACCUAGGGUGUGGCUAAACGGGAUGUGUAAUAAUACAUGUGGGGGUCUGGAAGAGAGUUGAGUUUUGUACUAGACUGGUGGGGGUCAGGGAGAGAGUUGAGUUAUGUUGUAGUCUGGUGGGGGUCAGGGAGACGGUUGAGUUAUGUGCUAGACUGGUGGGGGUCAGGGAGAGAGUUGAGUUAUGUACUAGACUGGUGGGGGUCAGGGAGAGAGUUGAGUUAUGUACUAGACUGGUGGGGGUCAGGGAGAGAGUUUAGUUAUAUACUAGACUGGUGGAGGUCAGGGAGAGAGUUGAGUUAUGUACAAGACUGGUGGGGGUCAGGGAGAGAGUUGAGUUAUGUACAAGACCGGUGGGGGUCAGGGAGAGAGUUGAGUUAUGUACAAGACUGGUGGGGGUCAGGGAGAGAGUUGAGUUAUGUACUAGACUGGUGAAGAUCUGGCAUCCAGGCGGCCCUGGCAGCAGCAGUGGGUUCUGGGUAAAAUCACUGGGGAAGCCAAUCCAGAAACAAAAGCCAUAUUACAACCUAUGUGUUGUGAUAAUUGCGUUGUUUGCUCUGUAACCUGUUAGUUUAUAUUCCUUGACACUGUGAUAAAAAAGCCUAAAACCGAGAUUAUAAGAAGACACACUUUCACGUCCUGAC